Molecule: non-coding RNA, 53 nt
Filed under: uncultured Symbiodinium
Lineage: Eukaryota; Dinophyceae; Suessiales; Symbiodiniaceae
Source: RNAcentral
CCCAGAUAUGCUGCGGGGAAAGUCCCCGUGCCUUGGGGCAGAGAGUGCCACUG